UCUCCGUUGGUGAACCAGCGGAGGGAUCAUUACCGAGUUCCAGCAACUCCCAACCCUUGCGAACCGUACCCCAGUCUGUUCUCGUUGCUUCCGGCAGGCGGGGGGGGCCACCUGGCCCCUCCCCCUGCCGGGGGCGGCGGGCCCUCUGAACCUUUAUACCUCAACCACUGAAACCCGUCUGAGCAAAACAAAAAAUAAUCAAAACUUUCAACAACGGAUCUCUUGGCUCUG
RNAcentral lists this unclassified non-coding RNA (231 nucleotides) under plant metagenome. Its description in RNAcentral is "partial contains small subunit ribosomal RNA, internal transcribed spacer 1, and 5.8S ribosomal RNA". The record is from RNAcentral.